GACGAACGCUGGCGGCGUGCUUAACACGUGCAAGUCGAACGGAAAGGCCCUGCUUUUGUGGGGUGCUCGAGUGGCGAACGGGUGAGUAACACGUGAGUAACCUGCCCUUGACUUUGGGAUAACUUCAGGAAACUGGGGCUAAUACCGGCUAGGAGCUCCUGCUGCAUGGUGGGGGUUGGAAAGUUUCGGAGGUUGGGGAUGGACUCGCGGCUUAUCAGCUGGUUGGUGGGGUAGUGGCUUACCAAGGCUUUGACGGGUAGCCGGCCUGAGAGGGUGACCGGCCACAUUGGGACUGAGAUACGGCCCAGAGUCCUACGGGAGGCAGCAGUGGGGAAUAUUGCACAAUGGGCGGAAGCCUGAUGCAGCAACGCCGGGUGCGGGAUGACGGCCUUCGGGUUGUAAACCGCUUUCGCCUGUGACGAAGCGUGAGUGACGGUAAUGGGUAAAGAAGCACCGGCUAACUACGUG
RNAcentral lists this ribosomal RNA (468 nucleotides) under uncultured bacterium. RNAcentral's name for it is "partial 16S ribosomal RNA". It matches the Rfam family "Bacterial small subunit ribosomal RNA", at positions 28 to 507 of the family's 1533-position model. The record is from RNAcentral.